RNAcentral lists this transfer RNA (85 nucleotides) under Arabidopsis suecica. Its description in RNAcentral is "tRNA-Tyr". It matches the Rfam family "tRNA". Rfam says of the family: Transfer RNA (tRNA) molecules are approximately 80 nucleotides in length. Their secondary structure includes four short double-helical elements and three loops (D, anti-codon, and T loops). Further hydrogen bonds mediate the characteristic L-shaped molecular structure. tRNAs have two regions of fundamental functional importance: the anti-codon, which is responsible for specific mRNA codon recognition, and the 3' end, to which the tRNAs corresponding amino acid is attached (by aminoacyl-tRNA synthetases). tRNAs cope with the degeneracy of the genetic code in two manners: having more than one tRNA (with a specific anti-codon) for a particular amino acid; and 'wobble' base-pairing, i.e. permitting non-standard base-pairing at the 3rd anti-codon position. The record is from RNAcentral. Lineage: Eukaryota; Viridiplantae; Streptophyta; Magnoliopsida; Brassicales; Brassicaceae.
CCGACCUUAGCUCAGUUGGUAGAGCGGAGGACUGUAGUAGACGCUGAUUAUCCUUAGGUCACUGGUUCGAAUCCGGUAGGUCGGA